RNAcentral lists this ribosomal RNA (253 nucleotides) under uncultured bacterium. RNAcentral's name for it is "partial 16S ribosomal RNA". It matches the Rfam family "Bacterial small subunit ribosomal RNA", at positions 524 to 776 of the family's 1533-position model. The record is from RNAcentral.
UACGAAGGGUGCAAGCGUUACUCGGAAUUACUGGGCGUAAAGCGUGCGUAGGCGGUUCGUUAAGUCGGAUGUGAAAGCCCUCGGCUCAACUGAGGAAGUGCACCCGAAACUGGCGAGCUUGAGUACGAAAGAGGAUCGCGGAAUUCCCGGUGUAGAGGUGAAAUUCGUAGAUAUCGGGAGGAACACCGGUGGCGAAGGCGGCGAUCUGGGUCGAUACUGACGCUGAGGUGCGAAAGCGUGGGGAGCAAACAGG